Long non-coding RNA from Peromyscus leucopus (white-footed mouse), 453 nucleotides. RefSeq lists it as uncharacterized. NCBI's taxonomy places the organism in Eukaryota, Metazoa, Chordata, Mammalia, Rodentia, Cricetidae. The record is from RefSeq and is a predicted model, not a curated record. The transcript has 3 exons.
CCGAGACAACUGCAGAGUAGGGCGAGUCGGGCUGACCUGCUCCCUCGCCCGGCCCGUCGCCGCCACCGCGGAGCGCGGUGUCGCGAGAGUCUGAAGUAAAAGGACCGUCUCGCACGCCCUCCCCACUGCGGUCCAGCCUCAGAGGUAACCUCCGGUCACAGCGUCUUCCCACCACCCUACCCCGCCCUCCUCGCUUAGAUUGCCAGAGGAAACUCCCCGGCUUCUCAAAAGGAUUCUUCAUGCAGCUCACGCACACAGCGAGGGCACGAUUUCCACUGGAGCUGAUUCAUUCUUAGGCUUGGUUACUGGAGAAGUUCUCAGCAAGAAACCCAAAUCUGAGACCUACUGCUCUUUCCUGUGAGAAAGAAUGCUCAGAAAGUCCCUUGCGCAACCAGGGAGGGGACUGGUACCCAAACCAAGGAGAUGAAAAGAUUCAGCAGGAAGCUGGGUGUG